GUGUCUUUAUAAGCUUCAGUCUCUCUUCUCCUCACACUCCAACCCUGCUCACCUCUCAGCUGGACAGUAAGGGACGUUUACACCACACACUGACAACAUGCUGGGGACCCUCUGCACUCUCAUCACUGCUCUAACAUAUGUUGAUGCAGUGAUAGUGCUGACCCAGACACCUCCUGUCCACACAGUUUCUACAGGACAAGAGGUUGUUCUCAACUGCAACAUUCAGAGAUAUGAUGGAAAUAGGGUCAGAUGGUAUAAACAGGUUCCUGAUGCAGCUCCUCAGUAUGUUCUAGACAGUUCCCUCAACUUUGGAUCAGGAUUCUCCUCAAACCGAUUCAACUCUAAAUCCUCAUCAAACAUAGAUUAUCAGUUCAUCAUAAAGCAGGCGGAGACAGGAGACUCUGCUCAGUAUUACUGUCAGACAUGGGAUGAUUCUGCUUCUGCAGCUGUAUCACAGUGAUUCACUCUGUGACAAAAACCUCAAUAAGAGACUCACCACAGCUUUUAAGAAUUCUGAGAACAUUUUUAUGGAUGUUAUUCUCAGUUUGAUGCUGAUAUUUGGACUUUUGACAAAACCAUGAAAACAAAAAGAUUCAACAAAAUAUCCAGAAUCAUUCCUCAAGUCCAGCAGUGUUUAUGAAUAUAAUCGGACUGAUGGAGUGAAUGAGACGUCGACAGAGAAAGUUGG
Non-coding RNA from Perca flavescens (yellow perch), 688 nucleotides. The record is from the annotation of a RefSeq genome assembly. NCBI's taxonomy places the organism in Eukaryota, Metazoa, Chordata, Actinopteri, Perciformes, Percidae.